AACUUUUGACAACGGAUCUCUUGGUUCUAGCAUCGAUGAAGAACGCAGCAAAAUGCGAUAGGUAAUGUGAAUUGCAGAAUUCCGUGAAUCAUCAAAUCUUUGAACGCACAUUGCGCCUUCUGGUAAUCCGGAAGGCAUGCUUGUCUGAGCGUCAUUACACUAUUCAAACCUUUCUUUUAUUAGAAGUGGCUUGGUUUUGGAAGCAAAUUGUCAGUUUUACUACUGCAGUUUCUUCUGUAAUGCAUUGACGAGAGUCUACUGGUCCUUAGUCUUGGCAAGCCAUUGCUCGACUUCAGCGUAGUAGUAGAUGUCCUUCUUUCUAUUGAUUAGUCCUACGUGAUUAACAGCUUAAAGUUUGGUUUCAGAUCAGGUAGAAAUCCCAGCUGACCUUAAGUAUAACAAUAAGCGGAGGCU
RNAcentral lists this unclassified non-coding RNA (414 nucleotides) under uncultured Ascomycota. RNAcentral describes it as "sequence contains ITS2". The stretch from base 1 to 154 matches the Rfam family "5.8S ribosomal RNA". Lineage: Eukaryota; Fungi; Ascomycota. The record is from RNAcentral.